Mercenaria mercenaria is the source of this 8630-nucleotide long non-coding RNA. RefSeq lists it as uncharacterized. The transcript has 2 exons. The record is from RefSeq and is a predicted model, not a curated record. NCBI's taxonomy places the organism in Eukaryota, Metazoa, Mollusca, Bivalvia, Venerida, Veneridae.
GGGGUAUUUUUUGAGAUUCAGAGUUCAACUUUUGUUUUCUCUCAGAGAUAUUUUACAGCAUACAUGCUUGGUGUGAAAUUUCAACAUGUAACAACACACACCUGAUUCCGAAAACUGACCAAAUUAAUUGCUCUCUUGCAAUUCAUGCUGGGGGUAAUGGCCAUUAAAUUUCCAUGUUAUAGCUGUAAGCAGAUAACUGAUAAAAGUUGCCUGGAGAACCAAGUCGGCCCUUUAAGCCUAAUGGAAUAUCGAAGAAACUGUUAGCGAACAGCAUGGAUCCUGACCAGAUUGUGCGGAUGCGCAGGCUGGUCUGGAUCCAUCCUAAUCGCAAACCCACUUUAUUGGUUUUCCUAUGGCACGACUCAAAAUAUUCACAAAUAUUUUAUUUUAUUAUUUCCAAAUUUCUUUGACGGAAAUCGUUCAUCAUCUUGCAAAACAUAUUUCAUGUUUAAUGGCUAGUGGGUUUUUCCCAAAAAACAUAACUUUCUAAAAAUAAAACUGACUUGUAGCUCUUGUUACAAUAAAACUGUAUACACAAUGAUUCAUGUCUUCCCUUACAGAAGAAAAAGGCCUGCUGCGUACUCUUGCUGUGUACAUACAGCGUAUAUGAUGCGUACAUGAUGUGUACUGAAAUCAAUAGUACGCAGGAUAUACACCGCACAUACACCGAUAGUACGUUUGUAGUACACUUUUGACAUGCAAAUGAGCUCUGCCGCGUACUACUUGCUGCGUACAUGCUGUGGACUACAUAGUACACAGGAUGUACGCUGGAGGAAUUUAGUAUGCGAGAAAUAGUACGCAGCAUGUACGCGGCACAUACACUUUUCACAUGCAAAUGAGCCUGCGGUGUACUACCCCUGCGGCGUACAUGCUGUGUACUCCUGCGGCGUACAUGCUGUGUACUCCUGGCCCGAGUCCUGCGGCGUACAUGCUGUGUACUCCUGCUGCAUACAUGCUGUGUACUCUUGUGGCGAAACUGCUGUGAUAAUGUAAAUUCCUUACCCCACCAACUUUCGUAUGCAAAUGCUGAUCAUUUGGACAGAAAAAAACAGAAAAAAAGAUAAGUGACAUGCAUCAAUAAGUAUUUACCCUUACCAAAAUAAUGUAGAUUGAUGUUAUCAAAUAAAUCAGUAUGCUUUUCUCCAUCCACUUAUCAAUGAAAUAAAUCAAUUUUUGUAGCAUGUAAUUUGGUAAACAUUUGAAGAAAAUGGCGUAACUGCAUCAAGGGGAAACAACUUUAAUGCAACUAAAUAUAAGUGUUAUGAUUUAUUAUUGACGAUGUGUGCGUAGUAUGUAUUUAUUUUGAUUAAAAUCCAUCUGAGAACAAUCUAGGACUGGAAUUAUAUAAGCAUUUAUACACUUUUACGUCCGUAAAAAGUAGCGCACCAAUAAAUUUUGGAUUGAUUUUUUCCAAUGGGGCAAGCGCAAUUAGCCAAAAACGUUCUGAAAAUAUACAAGCGGCAAAUCCGAUGAACAACUUUUUAAUUUGGUGAGGCCUUAAUGAGUUAACAUAAUGAGCAUUAAAGCCUUUAUAAAACAUGAUAGAGUGGUGUUUUGCUUAAGAGUAUUCAAAUAACAGUGAGAGCUAUUAAUUCUUCUCAUUCGGGCGCUGUUGAGGCAUUAUCUUGGUAAUUAUUUCAUGUAUUACAAAAUGUAAUGCAACGAAGUUCAAAUAAGGCUUUUCAAUUAUCCAAGUUAGAAAGCUCCAGGAUUAAUUCAAAAUGAAAAAGAAUAUAUUUUUACACUGCAUGCAAGGUGCAGCUCAGAAAUCACUAAGAUGUAAGCUUCACAAAUGAACAUUGCAAAUAGUUUGGCAAAUUUUUAUUGUUCAGAAUACCGGUAAUCUGAACUAUUCUAUGCUAUUAAGAUAAAAGUUACUCGGAAAUCAAGUUCUUGCUUCCAAAAAAAAAAAAAAAUGUACAAAUCCUUCCUGCAUGAAGUCCCUCCUGCGUAUAUGAAGUUUACUUCAGACUUUAACUUAUAAAAAAAAACUAAGUAUAAAUGCCAAAAGAAAUUGUACAAGUCUUUCCCGCGUAUAUGAAGUGUACUGCACAAAUUUCAAAGUAUCUGCGGUGUACAUGCAGUGUACUAUUUUCUUGUACAAGUCCCUCCUGCGUACAUGCAGUGUACUCCUGAAAUUUUCAGAGUCUGUGCUGCGUACUUGAAGUGUACUAGUGACCUCCUGCGUACAUGCUGUGUACUCGUCGAAAUAGUACACGGCAUGUAUGCGGCAUGCGGUGUAUGUAAAAUGUACUCCUCUGGCGUACUACUGUGUUCGCGGCAUAUACACAGCAAAUACGCAGCAUGUACGCCACAGAGGCUUGCUUCUGUAAGGGUUCAUUUAAAUUUCAUAAGUUUUUAUACAGUUAGACCUAUUGUUACUUUCAAACAUUAAAGCAGCAAUGCCUCCAGAUUUGGCUAAAAAAUAUUCUUUCUUUCAAAUUGAAGCUUGGUCAUAUUAUGAAUACUAUAAUAUGAUUUUUUGUUUCUAAAAUAUUUUAAAAGUUCCAAAUCAAGAAAAAAAAACCGACCGCGUCGGAAAUGGAACCCCGGACCGCCGCGGCAAUAAAUAAAUUUUCCUUUCAUCGUAACCAAUAACGCUAUACCACACAUGAUACACAGUGCUUUCUUACUUGUAGGUGUCAACUGGAUUCUUGAUACCGGUAUUGUCGGUGUUUUAUAUUCCAUUUUAGUUACCUUACUAUCUUAGGCAGUCAAAUUCCAUAAUAAAUGUUUUAGAAACAAUGAUAGGAAAUAUGUAAAUACACUUUCAUGUUGAUCUUGUUAAUAAAAUAUAUGAAUUACCUAUACAUUUUAUUCUCCAUUUUUGCACAUUUCUUAAAGGAAUCACAAUCUAGUUUAAUACUCACAUAAAACUUGUAUCUUGUUAAUGGAGCAGCAGAGUUUAUUUUCUCUCAGCUCAACAUCUGGCUGGAGUUUUAAGCCUCAUUUAUCACCUUGUGGUCAGUGGCAAUGGCAUAACACUGACUUGUUCAUUGGGCAAUAAACCUUUGUACUGUUAGGACACUGAUGAAUCCUCAUCGAGGUUAUGUAAGCCGAAAUCGCAUUUUAUAAGUCUGUUGAGAUAAGCCACAGUAAAAGGGAGCUACAGAAAAUUUGAUAUAUAUUUUUUAUAAAAAAUGAAUAAAUAAAUGAGAAAUGUUUAAUCUCAACAGACUGAGAUAAGCCACAGUAAAAGGGAGCUACAGAAAAUUUGAUAUAUAUUUUUUAUAAAAAAUGAAUAAAUAAAUGAGAAAUGUUUAAUCUCAACAGACUGUGUAAGUCUACUGCAUUGUUUGUUUAAUGGUAUUUUUGUAUAUUAGAGAUAUGGCUUUAUUAUAUAAUCAGUAUUACAUACAGUAUGCAACUUGCAAUUUGUGUAUAACAGCACCACUGCUUUGAUAGAAAAUGUAAUGAAUUAGCGAGGUUGAUAUAUUUGUUAGGCCUAGAAAAUGUAAUGAAUUGGCAAGGUUGAUAUAUUUGUUAGGCCUAAAAAAUAUUGCUUGUUAGCUCACCAGUCACAAAGUGACAAGUUGAGCUUUUGUGAUCGCGCAGCGUCCGUCGUCCGUGCGUGCGUCCGUCCGUCCGUAAACUUUUGCUUGUAACCACUCUAGAGGUCACAUUUUUCAUGGGAUCUUUAUGAAAGUUGGUCAGAAUGUUCAUCUUGAUGAUAUUUAGGUCAACUUCGAAACUGGGUCACGUGCGGUCAAAAACUAGGUCAGUAGGUCUAAAAAUAGAAAAACCUUGUGACCUCCCUAGAGGCCAUAUUUUUCAAUGAAUCUUCAUGAAAAUUGGUCAGAAUGCUCACCUUGAUGAUAUCUAGAUCAAAUUCGAAACUGGGUCACGUGCGGUCUAAAACUAGGUCAGUAGGUCUAAAAAUAGAAAAUCCUUGUGACCUCCCUAGAGGCCAUAUUUUUCAAUGGAUCUUCAUGAAAAUUGGUGAGAAUGUUCACUAAUAGGGUCUUAACACUUGGUUUUGCGCUAACUCUGUGAUUCCAGCAGGUAUGCAAAUUUUGAUUCCAUACCUCAUGUUUUUAUUUCGAUGUAAAUGAGAUGUGAAACUACAAUUUGUAGUCCUGUUUGGCGCCAUAUAACCUAUACUGUGUUGGUGCGCCGUAAAACCCAAAUAAAUAAAUAAAUUUCCCAAAGCCAUAAAAACAUUAGGGUCGUUGCAAAUUUUUAGGGUAGGUCAAGAUACUGGAAAAAAAAAUUAAGGCCUUAUGGAGAAUAUCUUUAUUGUGUAACCAUUGAGAUUCAAUAUGGAAGGAGACUGGAUAGCCAAUGUAUUUGUAUAACUUUCAAUCAUUUGUGACAAGUUGAUGUCAUCACAGACCAAAGGUGCCAGACCAAACAGGAAAUUAUAUUUAGAUUUUAAAAAGCACAAUGUCUUACAUAUUUACAUAUGUUUAUUAUUUUCAUGUAUUGUUUCUGUGUGGAGGGUACAAAUGAAAUUACAAUAACAGCAGCACAUUUUUUAUGAGAUUGUUAUAAAAGCAUGUUGUAUGUUUGUUGUAAAACAUAUACUGCCCACGGAUGCCCAUUGAACAAUUUUGAUUUUUUUGUUUGUUUAAGUGAUUUUGCCUGCACAUUGAUCAUGGUCUGCACUGUUUACUAUACAGUCAGUAAAUUUUAGUGAACAGCCGCCCUUUGAAAAAUAAGUGGUACUGCCCAAGUUGAAUGAUGGACCAGUCCAUUUUGGUAAUAUAGCAGGAUAAAGGUUAAGAAAUGUUUGAUCAUGAACAUUGAUCUGAAUCUGUAGCAAUUUCUGUAAUAUAUAAAAUAUUUCAAUCGAGAUUAAGUUUUCUAAAGUAGAAAAUAUUUGAAAUUGUUUGGUGCCAGCAGGGUAUUACUUGGGGCAUUACUGUUAGAUUUUUCUUUGUUACAAUAUAUUCGUUUUAUCUUUCUUCAGUUUGAUUUAUGACUUCUUUAUACAAGAUUAAAUGUUUCACUAAUGAUACUGUUUUUAUAUGCACAAGAAAACAACAAUUCAGUAUACAAUUGCAUUUCAAUGAGUGUAGCAGUUCUAUCAUGCUCUUUGACAAGAAAGUGUUGUAUCCAUUUAUUUUUUUAGCACACAAGUUUAGAUCAGAACGUCGUGGUAUUUGUUCAUUUGCAGUCUAGUCAUUCUUCAUCAUUUUGAUGUAAAGUCAAUACAAACAUACUGUACAAGUUUUACACUAGAGAUUUGAUGUGUGUGAUUUUUGAAGAAUAUUUGUUUGCAGUUGCUUGCUUUUACUCAGUUUGUACAUUCACUUGUUUCCUAUAAACUUUUAAUAUAUUGUUUUCUAUAAUCUGAAUUUUUUUUUACUUUAUGUUAAGUGUGUGUUUAGAAGUAUUCAAUAAUUUUGAUUCCAUACCUCAUUUUUGUCUCGCCCACUUUUAAUGGAAGUGAUACUAUGCGAUCCAAAUUCCAGAGGUGACGGCGUUUGCGGCGACAAUGGUGCCAACAAUUGGAAAUAACUCAAAAACUGUUUCAUAUAUUUUAAACCUUGUAGGAUGUUUUAGAAACUAAUUUUACACCCUCAUGGUGAGUCCUGGCCCUCUAGUGACCUUUACCUUGAAGAAGUUAUCAUUUUUAGAUUUUUUUACGCUUUUGAAAAUCCAUAAAACUGACAGUUUCUAAAAAACUAUUACAUUAUAUUGCUUUGAAACCUUGUAGAAGAUGGCUCAAAAACUCAUUUUACAUUCCCAUGAUGAGUUCUGAAAUCCCCCCCCCCCCCCCCCCCCCCACCGCCCCAGUAACAUUGACCUUAAAGAAAUUAGCACAUUAUUUUUAACGCCUUUCAAAGUUCUCAAGAAUGAUAAUUUCUCAAAGACCGUUACAUAUAUUGCUUUGAAACAUUGUAGGCUGGUUCAAAAACUCGUUUAACUUCCCCAUGGUGAGUCUUGCUCCCCUAGUGACUUUGAAAAUUCGCAAAAAUGACAAUUUUGAAAAUAAUUGUUACAGAUAUAGCUUUGAAACUUUGGAAGAUGGUUUAAAAACUCAUUUUGCACCUAUUUCAUGAGUCAAAGCUCUUGUGGGCGAGACACUCCAGUAGUGGCCUUGUAUUUCAGUGUAAAUGAGGUUUGAUUUUUUUUAUGUUUGGCAUCAUAUAGCCUGUACUGUGUUUGUACGCCAUAAAAUCUAAAUGAACUGGCCCCGUGUUCACAAAACAUUUUUCAAUCUCAGCUGAGUUUGAGUUUGAAAUUUUAAUAACAGUUUUACUAAAACUUCAAGCUUAAAUUCCAAACGAGACUGACCAUCAGUACCGAAUAAUUAUUUUAAAAUAGUUAUUAACUUAAAAUUUAGUCUUAAACAUGCUAUUUAGAUAUAAAUAAGAAAUUAAGUUUCAUUAUCAAACUCAGCUGAGACUGAAAAUAUCUUGUGAACACGGGGCCAGAGCAAUAAUACUUGCAUACAUCUGCAGUUUUUAUUCUCAGGCCAUAUUGAAUUUCAUGUACUAUGUUGCUUUCAGUACAAUAUUGUUGUUUUAAUUGUACAUAUUCUUUUUGUUUACAAAUAAUAUGAAAGGUUUCUUCCCAUUCAUAUGCAUUUUUUUCUGUAGAUCCUUCUAUAUACCUCUAGUUUGGAAGUAUUUAUCUUUAAAGUGAUGAAGGGAAAUCAGUUGAAAAUAACUUGUUGAGAGAGGAUUGAAGGCUGCAACAGGCUUUUAUCAUUUUUAACUGUUAUGUAUAUCUCCGAGUGUCAGACUAACUUGUUUUGUGUUUGUGUGUAUUUUUUUGUAGUUAUACUUUGUGAGUUAUUAUGGUAUUUUGUUAUGUUAUUAGAUAUUGUUGAUUAUUGUUCUUCUAUAUGGUAUAGGCUAUUAGGUGAAUAUGGUAUAGGUUAUUAGGUGUAUAUGGUAUAGGCUAUUAGGUGUAUAUGGUAUAGGUUAUUAGGUGAACGUAUGUGAUUAUAUGCUAAAUAAGACACGAAGGAACUGUUCCUCUAAAAGCAUUUACAUGGUGAAGUUUUCAGCUUUAAGAACUAAAACUUUAUGGCUUUGCCCUGCUUAAUUUAGAAUUCAUAGCUUUGUUUUAAAAAUGACUUACUCUUUUUACUUGGUUUCAUGUAAGUUUAAAAGUGUAUAUUUUAGACAGAUGUAACAUAGAUCUUUAUUUGAAGCUUUAAAAUAUCAGAUGUUUAUAAGCAUAUCAGUCCAUAUCUCGUUUUGUGUAUGUGUGUAAUUUCAUAUCAUUAACUUGCGAGUACUGAGGAUUGUUGUGGACAAACUGGAAGGCAAUAUUUCGGAGCGAUCAUAUGUUAUUGUCUGGAAGUCAUUAGGUUUAAUAGGACAUAGGUCAAUGUCAUAAUUUCUUUUAUCAGUGCCAGGGGAACCUUGGUUUACAUUCAUCACAGGGCUUAUGAUCAUUACUGUGAUCAGUAAAUGACUUGGUAUGUUAACAGUCAAGGUCACUAUAAGACUGGAGUAUUUUUAAGGGCAGUGGAUAAAAAAGACCGUCAUAUAACAGUAUUUGACAGUCACAGGUUAAGUUACAUAAAGGACAAGGGCAGAAUAAGACCGAUACAGUUUCAGUUUUCGUUUCUAAAAUACCUUUUAAUAGUUGGAUCAAUUUUUUUCCAAUAAAUCACAUUGCUGAUUACACACCAAGUUUACAUUAAGAUAGAGUUUCUUGUUAUGCCCCCGAAGGGAGGCAUAUUAGUUUUCAACUGUCCGUCCGUUCGUUCGUUAGUUAGUUAGUUCGUCACAACGUUAACUUUUUGCAUGAAGGCACUUUACUCGCAAACCACUGCACCCAGGACCUUCAAACUUCACAUGCUGAUAGUACUUAUUGAGUACACCACCCCUACUGACUUUGGGGUCACCAGGUCAAAGGUCAAGGCCACAGGGGCCAACGUUAACUUUUUGCAUGAAGGCACUUUACUCGCGAACCACUGCACCCAGGACCUUCAAACUUCACAUGCUGAUAGUACUUAUUGAGUACACCACCCCUACUGACAUUGGGGUCACCAGGUCAAAGGUCAUGGUGCUGCGGGGGCAUUUGUCACCAUUAGUGACAGCUCUUGUUUUUGUCAAACGUUUUAGACACAAUUCUUAUUCGAUAACUCAAACUCUUGUAAGCCCCAUGUAGUUCUAAGGCAACUUGUGUAUCCACUGUCUUACUUUUGCAUGAUCGGGGGCUAUUGAUAGGGUCUGAUAACUUGGUUUUGCUGUAUCUCUUUGAUUCUAACAGUUAUGAAAGGUUUGUCAUACCUCAUAUUUUAGUUAAAUGUAGUUUGGAUGUGGAACCAAUAUUUAGUUCUGUUUGGCGCCCUCUAAUAUGCCUUAUGUUGGUGCACCAUAAAGCUUUUGAGUAUUAUUUUAAAGACAUUGAAUAAGAUGUUAUAAGUUUUCAAACUUAUUUUAUGAAUGGUGUUACAGGGAUGAUUGAACUUUAUAUAUUUUAUCUAAAUUAUUUGAAUUAAUAUCCAAAGAUAGAAAUCUGUUAUGAAUUUUAUGAUCUUUUUUUCUUUGGUACUGUCUCUUGUUAUAUUUAUAAACAAUGCAAUUUCACGUAGCCAAAUCUGCUUUAUUGCUCACUGUAUUCUGUUGAAUCAUGUUUCACUUAUGUACAACCUGUCUAUUUAUUCAAUGAACGAUCUUUGUUGGCUUGAAAAGAAAUAUUUUGUAAUACACUCCUAUAUUGUA